Non-coding RNA from Pelobates cultripes (western spadefoot toad), 223 nucleotides. Lineage: Eukaryota; Metazoa; Chordata; Amphibia; Anura; Pelobatidae. The record is from the annotation of a GenBank genome assembly.
GGAAUAGGCAACCUUGGGCACUCCAGCAGUAGGGUGAAAUUAGUCAACAUCUGGAGUGUCAAAGGCUGCCUACCCUUGUAUUAAGAUCUAAAUUAAUCAAGUGUGUGAGGGUAUGAGUGUGAAUGGCUGUAUAAAAUGUAAGUUUGUGCAUGUUGUGAUAAUGUGCAUGGAAUAGACAGUGACAGUAUUUCUAUUUCAUCUCUUGUUUUGAAAGAUGCGUAUA